This is a long non-coding RNA of Panicum virgatum (switchgrass), 2337 nucleotides long. RefSeq lists it as uncharacterized. The record is from RefSeq and is a predicted model, not a curated record. Lineage: Eukaryota; Viridiplantae; Streptophyta; Magnoliopsida; Poales; Poaceae. The transcript is spliced from 2 exons.
UUCUGCGAGAAUAAGGAGUUUGGAUGAGGGGACAAAUAAAACUGAAGAAAUCGCUCAAGUAACAAAAGGAAUAAAUGCAAUUAUAGGGAAUAGGUUUGUGAUUCUGCUCAUGUUGUUUUUAUUUUGGUUGAUAAAUAUGCCUGUACUUUAGCUUUGUGUGUGCAGGUGAAUUGGAAAUGAGUUCUAUGUCUUACAUCAGUGUGCUCAGAAGCUUCUGCUAUAGUCCAUGUUGGUGUUGUGCCUGGUACUGAAAUACUGCUAGAAGUGUCCUCUUCGGUGAUCUCAUUUGUAGAUGAAGAAAUUGCUGAUUUGGCUUCUGAUAUUGCAAGUUUAAACUGUAAAAUGGAAGUGCAGAGAUAAGAUUCUUGUAAGUUGCAAGGCAUGUGAAUGAACAUCAAAUUAAGAAAUACAAUGUAGGAAGGGCUGUGUGCAUUUCGUAUGUAAAAAAAGAUACUCAUCAUACUUAUGCCUUGGUGCGCCUUUGGUUUUUGCUCUUUUUAUUUUUUUUGGAUGUGUUGUAGCUGUGUAUAUGAAUAGUUUUGUUCGUAGUCAUAUGAAACAAUGGUGGAACAUAUAUAUAAUAGACUAUGGAAUGUAAAUAGGAAAUAUUUAUUUAUUUGUUUGCUAGCAAGCACCUAACAGAAGCAUACAAGGACAUUAUCUAAUCGGGCCUGUGCUGAAUAUUUUCAAGAUGCAACUAUAUAUUAUUAGCAAGAGAGUAUUUGUGGAACAAUUGUUUUUAUUUACUUCAAAUCGAGCCAUGUAGGCAUUUCCUUGUCCCUUGUCAUUGCAUCGUCAUGAUCAUUUGAAUGCCUUUAUUUGCACCAACACAUAUAAAAAAAGAAGGUAUGUAAGAAUUGUGUUGAUUGGCAACAUACCUUGUAUAUGUACUUGAGUGGACUAAAUUCUUGAAGAUGAGCCACGCAACCUGCACAAACCAAAUCAAUCAAUCAAGGUGUAAAUUAAUGGAAAAGCUGCAUAUAGCUAUACAAAAUUUAGAGUACAUAGCUCAUAGAUUAGUGGAGGUAGCAGAAUAAAAAUUGCAAGAAGUAACAGAUCCAUUAAAUAAAAUGCGAAAAGAAAGCAAUAGUUUUUGUCAGGUAAAGAAACCGAAUAUGUAUUUCCUAUACUCUUUUAUAUAUUAAAUAAUACAUCGAAAUCUAUUAAACCAAAAAGUAAAACACAGUAGCGUUAAUCAUGGCAGAAACCAAGAAGUAAUGACAUGGUAAUAGAAUAAAAAAAGUUCUCCUAAAAAAAAGAUUCUUCUCCUCGCUUAAGGUGAGAGUGAGAUGUUGUAAAACCUGAACACCACAAGAGUAGCUUCAUAACUGCCAGCUUGCAAUCAGUUUUUUUUUGUGGUACACUAUACACAUCCGAAAACACUACUCGUAUCUUACUGCAUUAGGGAGGUAUAUAUAUCAUGCUAAGUGGUGGGGAAACAAAGAAAGGAAGAAAAAAAAGAGCAGGAAUUAAAUACAUAAGAACUUUUAGCAUCAACACAGUGGUGUCAUUACACAGAAAGCACAAUAGUUCGAUUGUAAGCAGCCACCACACAAGGUAGUAGUACACCAUCAUAGGAAAAUGAUUUCGUGCAGAGCUUUAUCUCAAAGAGCUUUCUAAAUUAAUUGGAAAGUAAUCAAGAAUAUCUAUGUCAAAAUUAGAAGAUGGUAAUUGAAAUUUUAUUUCCUUGCAAUAUAAAAAGGAAAAUGUCAAGUGGUUGAGUAUUCACAUGCAGUUAUGUAAGAGCUUUUAGUAGAGAUAAAUAAAAAAUGUGAAAUGGUUGAGUAUUCUUCUGCAGAUGUAAGAGCGUUUAGCAGGAGCAAGAACCAUAAUGAUUGUCUUGUUGAUCUCACCUGUGAGGGUGUGGCAAACCAUCCUUAGCUACAUCUGAUGGUGGUGAUCCUGGCCAGAAAAUCCAUAAUAGUAUGUUUAGAAGUAUUGUUACAUUAGACUACACCAUAAUCGCAAAGGCUAGAGGAUAAAGAAUCAAAUUUGUAGUUUGCUCUGAAUUUGACAUAAGAAAGGCAUAUAUGCAUGUCCAAGGUACUUUUAGCUUUUUAAAUUUAGUGCUUGAAAAAAUAAGAUUCGUAUCCGCGGUAGAAUUAUUACCUUAGGCAAUGCAAAUCGCCUUAAUGUGUCUUCUUGUUUUCGUCAAGUAGGACUCCUUGUCAGUCACUUUUAUUCAGAUUUAUGCAGAAAUCAGAACAUGAUUAAUAAAGGCCAAAGGAUAAAGAAUCAUUGCCUAUUUGUAAAUGCAGAUAUGUAAGUAUGCUGAACUUAACAUAAAACCGGUGUAGGAACAUGUCCAAGGUAUUUUAGCUUGUUAAAUUUAUUGCU